This 403-nucleotide unclassified non-coding RNA is filed under the name soil metagenome. Its description in RNAcentral is "partial contains 5.8S ribosomal RNA, internal transcribed spacer 2, and large subunit ribosomal RNA". The stretch from base 1 to 122 matches the Rfam family "5.8S ribosomal RNA", at positions 35 to 154 of the family's 154-position model. The record is from RNAcentral.
GAUGAAGAACGUAGCAAAAUGCGAUACUUGGUGUGAAUUGCAGAAUCCCGUGAACCAUCGAGUUUUUGAACGCAAGUUGCGCCCGAAGCCUUUUGGCCGAGGGCACGUCUGCCUGGGCGUCACGCAUCGCGUCGCCCCCCACAAUUCUCCGUAAAGGGAACAUGUGUUUUGGGGGCGGAUAUUGGUCUCCCGUGCUCAUGGCGUGGUUGGCCGAAAUAGGAGUCCUUUCGAUGGACGCACGAACUAGUGGUGGUCGUAAAAACCCUCGUCUUUUGUUUCGUGCUGUUGCUCGCAAGGUAAACUCUUUAAAAACCCCAAUGUGUCGUCUCUUGACGACGCUUCGACCGCGACCCCAGGUCAGGCGGGACUACCCGCUGAGUUUAAGCAUAUCAAUAACGGAGGA